This 21-nucleotide microRNA is filed under the name Brachypodium distachyon (stiff brome). RNAcentral describes it as "bdi-miR5181c-3p". Lineage: Eukaryota; Viridiplantae; Streptophyta; Magnoliopsida; Poales; Poaceae. The record is from miRBase by way of RNAcentral.
ACUUCUUAUGGAUUGUAGGGA